Molecule: ribosomal RNA, 253 nt
Filed under: uncultured bacterium
Lineage: Bacteria
Description: partial 16S ribosomal RNA
Rfam family: Bacterial small subunit ribosomal RNA
Source: RNAcentral
GACGAAGGUGGCAAGCGUUGUUCGGAAUCACUGGGCUUAAAGAGCACGUAGGCGGCCUGUCAAGCGUCCUGUGAAAGCCCUCGGCUCAACCGAGGAAUUGCAGGGCGAACUGGCAGGCUUGAGGCAGGUAGAGGCGAGUGGAACUCUUGGUGGAGCGGUGGAAUGCGUAGAUAUCAAGAGGAACGCCGGUGGCGAAAGCGACUCGCUGGGCCUGACCUGACGCUCAGGUGCGAAAGCCAGGGGAGCAAACGGG